UGUGGGGACAAGAGGCUCUCACAAUUCUCCAGCACUUCCCAGCAUCAUUUAAGCUCCAGAAAACACUGUCCUGAAACACUCUGAGGGGAGAGAGCGAUAUUCAGGAUAGAGCCCAAUCCCAAAUGGAAUGUUUUCCUUUUGGUUUUAUUUGAAUAUAGUUUGCUUCAUUCCAACCAGAAUUGCCACAGCCAAAGAGAACUGUCUCUAAGCGAUUCAAGUUCUGUGUUAACGCCAACAAAGCAACUUGCUGGGGAAACAACAAAACCGCUUCCACAUCGAAGCUUGGUUUGCAUGAGUGAGCAACCUCUAGAAACACCUCCAGCUCCAUCUGUGUUUGGAAGGGACAAAGGAUGUAACAGGAAGAACCCAGGAUGGCUGGUGUAGAGGAGGACCUCUCAGAGGAAGGAACAAUUGGGCUCGCUCUUAAAGGGACUGCUUCCUACAUACAAUCUAGAGUCACCUAGAAGUCAAACUGCUGGGAAAAUUGUGAAGAAUUGUUUAGAUUAAGUUAUGCUCUGAGCACACCUGCGUGACUGGGUUAACUGAAGUGGAAAACCCAACCUUAAGGAGGACGCCACCAUUCACUGUGCUUGGGUUCCCGAUUGCAUAAUACAGUGGAGGCAAUUGAACAUUUAUCAUUGUCUACUUCCUGACUGCAGACGCAAUGUGACAAGCUGCCUCGAGUUCCUGUUGUUAUGACUCCCCUGUUCGCUCAAACUACAGAAGAUCAUUGGAUUCCCCUUGAGCUAUGUUUUCAGGCAGUUAUUAGCUUCUGACAUCAGUACUGAGGCCCACACUCAGCUCCUCUGCAAGAAGAGCAAGUACUUUUCACUACUGAG
Myodes glareolus (Bank vole) is the source of this 839-nucleotide non-coding RNA. The record is from RefSeq and is a predicted model, not a curated record. Lineage: Eukaryota; Metazoa; Chordata; Mammalia; Rodentia; Cricetidae.